Molecule: transfer RNA, 76 nt
Filed under: Nanobdellota archaeon
Lineage: Archaea; Nanobdellati; Nanobdellota
Description: tRNA-Asp
Rfam family: tRNA
About the family: Transfer RNA (tRNA) molecules are approximately 80 nucleotides in length. Their secondary structure includes four short double-helical elements and three loops (D, anti-codon, and T loops).
Source: RNAcentral
GCCUGGAUAGUAUAGUGGCCUAGUAUGUCGCCCUGUCACGGCGAUGACCGGGGUUCAAAUCCCCGUCCGGGCGCCA